UUGGUUUAAGAUGGGCAUGCGUGCCAUUAGCUAGUUGGAGAGGUAACGGCUCACCAAGGCGACGAUGGCUAGGGGUUCUGAGAGGAUGAUCCCCCACACUGGUACUGAGAUACGGACCAG
RNAcentral lists this ribosomal RNA (120 nucleotides) under uncultured bacterium. RNAcentral's name for it is "partial 16S ribosomal RNA". It matches the Rfam family "Bacterial small subunit ribosomal RNA", at positions 215 to 334 of the family's 1533-position model. The record is from RNAcentral.